AAAUCCUACGAGAAAAAAAUGUAAUUCAAAUUGGCUUGGAGCUGCGAGCUGUCAGCUAGAUUGAAGGCUGGAUUAUAAACCAAGACUAAUGAAGGCCCCGCAACUCUACAGAGUCAGGGAUGGCGUCCAAGAGCAUCUCUGCGAGGUCCUACAGGGGAGCCUGGUUGCAGCAGAAGACCGAGCAUUUUGGAGAUGCCAGUACUGUGGGAUGACCACCAAGAACAGCAGCAGCCGUGGAGCGGAGCCAGCCAGAGUCUAGAAGACAAGCUGUGUGUGCUGCAGAGGGCGGAGCUGGAGAAGUGACUCAAGCCCCUUGGAGAUGCCCAAAAGAUCGGACAAAGGUAAUCUGUGAGGUGUUCCAGGAGCCCUUCCACUGCGCCGUUAACGGAUUCAUCCUGAAACAGUGUCACUGUUCAUCAUCCUGUUACACCCUGUGGCAGUCUUAGGACUUCAAUGCUCUAAUGAAAUUGUUUGGGUCAUAUGGUAUGAGGGGCAUGGACGUGCCACAUCUGCAUAGAAACUCGAGGACAAUUCGCAGGAUUUGCAAGGACUUGUGAUCAAACUCCGGUCAUGAGGCUUGGCAACAGGAAUCUCCAUCCACUAAGCCAACUUGCUGACCCCCUCACAUUUUUAAAAGAUCUCCGGGGAGAAUGCCUGGUUGCCGCGGGCUCUGCAGGUCUGUAGAUGAAUUGCCAAGGCCAGGGGUGUGGCACCGUGUUACCUGGAUGCUGACAGGAAGAGGACACUGUUUGCCAGGGGGAAUUGUUUGCGUGACACGGGACCUCACGACUCAGACCUUGUGUAAUCUUGCUUAAGUGUCCAUUACUGAGACUCUAGUCUUGCUUUCUCCAGAAGAAAUAAACCCUUCAUGGAUACAGUCUCUGAAACAAGGAAACAUUGGGCCCUGUCCUGCCAAUGUUUGCCAAGGAAGAGUGGGAAAGAGAGAGGAAAAAAGCAAUCCUACCUUCUACGUGCCUGAGAAGAGAGCAGAAGGGCAGUGUUCCGUGGGAUAAGGGACUCAGGCCUCCAUUGCUGGGACUACGUGGACACAGAGGAGGGGCAUGUCUGGUUCAAGCUCCUCCUCCUCUACAGCAGCUGGGUUUUGUGUAGGAAGUAAACAUCAGAGUUUUAGCUUUAAGGAAUCUCACCGGUCCUUCUUCUAUCUCUGACUUCCCCAGUCUGCAGAAGUCCAGAAGAAAAGAGAGACCAGGAGGUAGACUGGUUGUCCAGAGUAAAGUGACUGAAUGCUGAGACCCUAUUCUUCUGCCUUAACUGGUCCCUGCUUCUUCCAUGGCAGUGAGUGACCUGCCAGUAAGGGGUGAUGGUUAGUUUUAAUUGUCAACUUGACAUAGUCUAGAAUCACUUGGGAAGAGUGUUUCAGUGAGAGGUUGUCUAGACUGGGUUGUCCUGUGGGUAUGUCUGUGGAGGAUUAUCUUGGUUGUAUUAAUUGAGGUGGAAAGACCUAUCCACUGUGGGCAGCACAAUUCCCUAGGCAGGGGGUCCUGAACUCUGUAAGAGUGGAGAAAGUGAGUCCAGUCCUAGUGUGUAUGCCUUCACUUUCUCUCUGUUCUUGACUGUGGGUGUGACUAGCUGCUUCAAGUUCCUGGUGACUUAAUUUCCCGAAAAUAAUGGACCAAAAGCCCUUUCACCCUUAAGUUGCUUCUGUCAGGAUAUUUUGUUUUUCAUGGCAACAGGAAAUAAAACUAAGACAAGAAUCAAGGUUUAAAGGGCUGGGUCAGUAUCCUGAACUUGUGACAGG
Molecule: non-coding RNA, 1759 nt
Organism: Peromyscus maniculatus bairdii (prairie deer mouse)
Lineage: Eukaryota; Metazoa; Chordata; Mammalia; Rodentia; Cricetidae
Source: RefSeq, a predicted model, not a curated record